GUACUGUGUAGCCAUCACUGCCCCCUGUGCUGCUUGUCCCCAGUGGUUGCAACCUCUGACUUCUGCCUGGCCUCUGUCUGCUUGCUCGCAGUGGACUCUCUGUUGGGAAAGCACCUUCUUCUCAUCUUGUCUGAGCUUGCUCCACCUUGCUGGGGUGGGGAAAGAGACGAAUGUCACAAAAGCAGGAGGUAGAGGCCCAGGGAAGCGAGUGGGCAGGGCUGGAACUGGAGGGAGCCCAGCUGAGAAGCAGAGUCUUAUAGGGAGAAUUAGAAUUCUGAAGGAGGAGGCUUUGGUCGUCCCCAGGAAGCCGGGUUCAAAGAAAUCAAGAAAAUAACUAGUUGAAAAUAGAACCUGGAAUUUCAGCUUAUGCGUCAGGAUUGUAUCUGAACCCCAAUAUGGUCUUCAACUGUGAUAACUUAGUAAAGUUUACCUUUUCUACGACUAUUUAACUUUUUUAUUGCUCAGAUUUUUUUGUCUUAAAUGUUUAUUUUUAAUGCAUUAGAGAAAUGUUUGUAUACAAGUUUACAAAAAAGAAAUUAUGAAAGAG
Molecule: long non-coding RNA, 547 nt
Filed under: Rattus norvegicus (Norway rat)
Lineage: Eukaryota; Metazoa; Chordata; Mammalia; Rodentia; Muridae
Description: long non-coding RNA NONRATT007500
Source: RNAcentral